GUAUUUUGUCAGUGCUGGGUGCUUCAGUUUUUAAGCCUGCUGACUGCCAUUGAGCCUUCUUAUUGUGAGAAUGGCAUGGAUACACUGCCACUGAUGUAUGAUUCUCUCUCUUAGGUAAGCGUGACAUCGCUCAUCUUAUGUGGGGUCAUCAUCAGGGAGGAGUCUGUUUAGGAGAUAUUCUGCUGUGCUUCUCCAUCCUCUGAUCAUUGUGCCUUCAGCUUGUUCUGGUGUGGACAGAACUGUCAGUGUCAUAACUUGAUCUUUUUCUAUCUUGAAUGGUUGUCCCCAGAUGUCAUUCUGUAGCUGGGUCUUGACAAAAUUGGUCCAGUAGUCUUGCCUUGUUGUCUUUAACUGUCUUUGCUAUUUCUGUUUAGUGUCAUGAUACAGGUUGAGUCUUAUCUGUCUUUCAGGAGAUGUCUUUGCUUGUUUGUAGUACUUUCUCUUGUUCCUUGAAUCCUUCCCUUAUCUCACCAGUUCUGUCAACCAUGGUUGUUGCUGCUCCAGUCAGUUUUUGCCCAUGGUAUAGUUGAUAUUCAUGGUCCAUGUUAUGUGUAUUGAUGUGUGGUUAUGAUGAUUGUGUUGUGGUUGCUAUGUGUGGUUCAGUCUAAUACCCUUCAUAUGUUGACUAGUGGAAGAAAUUUUGCAUUCCCUAGAGAAAGAUCUAUGUUACUUAUGCCACUGGCAUCUCUGCAGUAGGUAGGUGGCUGUCCCUCCCAAUUCAGAGUGAAGAGGUUGCAUUCAUUUACCAUGUCAAGCACUAGUUGUCCUCUGUCAUCAGUUGUAUCUGAGUUCCACAAAUGGGAUUUUACAUUGAUGUUGGUUAGAAUGACCAGCCUUUUUCUUUCUUAAUGUUGUGCAAUGUCUUUUCUUUGUCUAAGAAAGAUUCUAUGCCACACGAAUAUUGAGUGUAUACAGACGACUUGACCCACACAUCCCGUGUGUCUGUUAUUUCUCUUUGGUGAUGUGUUCAGAGCAAAACUGGGUGAUCUGUGUUACUAUGAGGUUUUUAUUUACUUCUGUUAUCAUGGCUUUCAUGUUUGGUUUUCCUGCUAUUGUGAUGUAAUGUAAGGGGAGCCCUGGAAUCUUCUCGCCUCACAGAAAGGGUUCCUGAACACAGGCAAUGCCUGCUUUUGUUUUAUCUGAAAGCCUACCUAGUUCCAUCUUUACUAGUAUACUACCCCGGCAAUUUAGUUGUAUUACACUCAGAAGGGGUAUCUAGUGAACAAAAAACUCUUGGGUGUGGUUUGUAUAAAAUCCAGAAACACACAUCCAUUUGCCCUCACGAAGUCCUUGUGUACUUUCCCUAGGUUUAGCCCUCUGCCCUUCCCUCACAUGCCUACCCUAAAAGCUUACAUAGUUCUUUGGGGUUUGUUGGGAGAUUUUCGACUCUUAGAAUCAUCCUGUCAGUUUUUUCUGUAGUUGGGAAGCAGAUAUUAUCCCCGUUUUUAUGCUUAGUUCAUAUUACAUAGCGAGGAGCUGUUUGAAAUACAUCCUCGUUUCCCAGUCUGCUACGCCCUAGGUUAGCUUCUAAGCUUCCAUAGUUUAUUUGAUUAAUGGUGUUCAGCUUGGGGUCCUUGGUAGUGUCUGAUUGGUGUUCUUGACUGUUCAUUUGUUGCUCUGAUUUUGAGUAAUUUUGUAGUGUAGCAUGUUUUUCCUGCUUUAUGGCUUCUGGUAGUGUGGAGUUCAAUGUGUUUCAACUGAACAUUUCCCAUGACAGUAACUUCAUGUUUUUUGUCUCCAGUGGGGACCUGUUCGUGAAAGCAGACUGUUGUAUGUUCAUUUCUGGGGUGGUUGUGCCUGGUGUUGUGCCAGUGCAGGAUGAGUCUUUCUGUUCAGCUACCUUACUGUUUUGUUUUUCAUAGUGACUAUGUGUGCUACCCCUGUAGGCAAAGCAAACUGGUGUAAAUAGGGUCUACAUUUUGUUGCAUCAUAUUCUACUUGUUGUGCAGAUAGCAUGCAGUAGUCUUUGUCUGUAUUUGCCUAUGGUGUUGCUUUUGUUGUGAACUCUGACACCUUCAUUCUCAGGAUGUUCAAGAAUGUCAUUACAUUUCUCUGUAAUAUCUCAUAGUAUUUUGCCUUCCACUUCAUCAGCUUGGAGAAGGAGACAAUCCUGGAAGAUGGCCCUAUCACACGUGAUGUUUCAAGUGCCUGACCAUUUCAUAUUCAAUUGCACCCUGAAGGCACAUAUUGUCUAUGUAGUGGGUAAUGGUGAAGUACCUAAAUUGUAUUGUCUCCCAGAACUGAGGUAUUACAUUAGUGUUAAUAUCUGCAUUUGGGGGUUUUAAUAGCCCCAUGUGUUGCUGCCAGGAAGCAGUUCACCUCUGUCAUGGUGUUAAUAAUCUGUGUGGGCUUGCCAUUGUGAGCUUGCUAGACACUGAUCUCUGAUCACUUGCGGGGGAGCUUGACAUGUAGGGAAAUCAAGCAAAGAUUAGAGAGGAACACUCAGAAAGUGCAGACAGGAAUGUGUCACAGAUGAAGGAACACUAUUCAUAGGGCAGCUGAAUGAGCUGGAUGUAUGGAAAUGGGUAUCACAGUGUAGUGGAGUAGUGAUUCAUAGAUCUGGUGACAGACCAAAAUUUUUAAAGAAGUCAAUGCCUAUGACUGGUUCUUCAGUAUCAUCCGUGUGUAAUGUCCACUGAUACACUGCACCAGAUUUUUCCCGUGCGGCCAUCCCAGAUGUCAUCACAAAAAACAACAGAUACUUCUUUGCUGGCAGCAAUUAAUGAAUUAAUGCUACGCAAAGCCACUAAGCAUCGUACAGCAACGAUCCGUUCCCGGAGAAC
Molecule: long non-coding RNA, 2783 nt
Organism: Schistocerca serialis cubense
Lineage: Eukaryota; Metazoa; Arthropoda; Insecta; Orthoptera; Acrididae
Exons: 3
Source: RefSeq, a predicted model, not a curated record